This 309-nucleotide ribosomal RNA is filed under the name uncultured bacterium. RNAcentral's name for it is "partial 16S ribosomal RNA". It matches the Rfam family "Bacterial small subunit ribosomal RNA", at positions 504 to 809 of the family's 1533-position model. The record is from RNAcentral.
AGAGACAGCAGCAGCCGCGGGAAUACGGAGGGUGCAAGCGUUAUCCGGAUUUAUUGGGUUUAAAGGGUCCGUAGGCGGACUUAUAAGUCAGUGGUGAAAGCCUGUCGCUUAACGAUAGAACUGCCAUUGAUACUGUAAGUCUUGAGUAUAUUUGAGGUAGCUGGAAUAAGUAGUGUAGCGGUGAAAUGCAUAGAUAUUACUUAGAACACCAAUUGCGAAGGCAGGUUACCAAGAUAUAACUGACGCUGAGGGACGAAAGCGUGGGUAGCGAACAGGAUUAGAUACCCCCGUAGUCCCUGUCUCUUAUAA